ACCUUUUAUAGGUAUAAAAAGUUAUGAAAGGGACUUGGUUGAAAUGCAAAGAGGGAACUAAACUAAUCUUAAGACAUUAAUCAGGUAUAAAAAGUUAUGAAAGGGACUUGGUUGAAAUGCAAAGAGGGAGCUGAACUAAACUUAAGACAUUAAUCAGGUAU
Argiope bruennichi is the source of this 161-nucleotide long non-coding RNA. RefSeq lists it as uncharacterized. The transcript has 2 exons. Lineage: Eukaryota; Metazoa; Arthropoda; Arachnida; Araneae; Araneidae. The record is from RefSeq and is a predicted model, not a curated record.